This 15959-nucleotide long non-coding RNA is filed under the name Nicotiana benthamiana. Its description in RNAcentral is "long non-coding RNA (NBEN_LNC038681)". The record is from RNAcentral. Lineage: Eukaryota; Viridiplantae; Streptophyta; Magnoliopsida; Solanales; Solanaceae.
CUUAUUUAUACACAUGUAUGAAUAUAAGUGAACACGUAAAAUGUAGUUAGGUUAAUUGGCACGUGUAUAUAAUAUGACACUGUACAGACAUUUCAUUUUGAGCAGAAUGAAACUAAUUUUCUUCUUCCCUAACUUUCAUAUCGUAUCAGAGCAAGUCAAUUUCACCAGAUCCAUUUUCGAUUUCUACAGGAAUUUCUAAAAAUCUCAUAAAUUCUUUGUUUUUUUCUAUUGAAUAUGGUCUUGACUGAGGAUUCCGCUUCCAGUGAAUCUGCUGCUUUUGUUCCUCCUCUUAUGGUAAAAAUUGAUCAUCUUUAUCCUUACUAUCUCCAUGCAUCAGACUCGCCUGGUAUGGCUUUAGUAUUUUUUGCUUUUGACGGCACUAGAUAUGGAUCAUGGAGGAAAUCUGUUUUAGUCUUUUUAUCUGCUGAGAACGGACUUGGUUCCAACGAUGGGACCUAAUUAAAAUCAAAGGGACAUUAUGAAUUUUUCAAUCUAUGAAAGAGAUGUAAUGAUUUGGUAUUUGCUUGGCUAUUGAAUUCUCUAAUCAAAGAAAUUAGAUGUUGUGUAAUUCACUAUAAAUCUGCACAUGAUUUGUGGAAACAGCUUGAGAAAAGAUAUAAACAAUCGCACCUAGCACAAUUAUUUGAACUACAAAAACAAAUAAUGAAAAUUGUACAAGGAUUAAACAAUAUCGCGACAUAUUUCAAUAACAUGAAAGCUAUCUGGGAUAAAACUAAUCUACUCGAUGCUAGGGCAGUAUGUAACUAUGUUGAUUGUAAGUAUGGAAUUGUGGAGAAAAACAGUACAUUUGAGGAAAGACAAAAACUAGUGCAGUUUUUUAUGGGGCUCAAUGAAAUAUAUAUUGCUUUUAAAGAUAACAUAAUAAUGAUGAAUCCCUCACUAGACGUUGAUCGAACAUACUUUCUGUUACUACAAGAGAAGAGGCGAAUGAGUAUACAACCUACGGGGAAUUUACCUACAAAGUCUUGUUCUUUCUCUGUUUCUAGACAAUCAUUCACCCUAGGGCAAGAAAAUCAUAGGUUAAAUCUGCAGCAAGGGGCACCUGACAAUACCUCAAAGCCAUACACCUAUCAGGACUACAAGAGAAACAAUUCUAGUUGCAAGUAUUGCAAAAGGCUAGGACAUACUAUAGAAAAAUAUUUCAAACUCUAUGAUUAUCCCACAAAUUUUCAACAAGGAGGUUUUAAGAACAACAAAUCAAGGUAGAAUACACAGUCAAUAUUCUAUGAUUUAGCACGUAGUAAUGCAAUAAGUACUCAAGAAGAUCUACUCAGUCUCCAAGAACAAAUGUUACUGUUGAAUAACCAGAAGAAAAUUUCUCAUUUGAUGGAGAUGCUACACCAGGUUAAAUCGGACAACAAGGCACAUCUAAUUCUGAAACAAAUGUGGCAGUUAACUGUGCUUGUAUUACUUCCUUUACUCUUAACUACUCCUAAAAAAAUUAUCUGUUAUUUUUGGAUACUUGACUCUGAGGCUUUGGAAUACAUAAUAUUUGAUAAGUCCAUUUUAUUCAAUAUUUAACCCUUACAACAGUCUAUUAUUGUUAACCUACAUAACUUUUUUAGGAUUAAAGUCACUCAUACGGGUCAAUCUUGUAUUCAUCCUGAAUUAACUCUAAAUAGAAUCCUUUUAGUUCCUAGUUUCAAAUUCAACCUAUUAUCAGUUUAGAAAGUGCUCACAAUUUAACAGUUUGCUUAUCUUCUUUGCGACUUCUUCUUUGGCUCUUUUCUUGAGGAGGCCUCCGGAUCCUGGUAGAGUGAAGGAUGUGCUCUAUCUGAUGCAAACUUUUCACCAUAUAUAUGUUAAUCAUAUGCACACAAAUAAGAUAAACUUAUUAUCUAUAAAUAAUUGACAUCCGUGUGUUUGCAAUUUAUUGUCUAGUUCUGAAAUUUCAUUUAGCAAUCUACGACAUGUAAGACUGGGGCAUUUGCCAAAUUCCAGUAUGAAACACAUUUCUACAUUGCCACAGAAUGCUUUUACUGUUGAUUCUUUUUCCUUAUUCUAUUUGUCCCUUAGCCACGCAACAUAAGCUACUAUUUCCCAACAGUACUACUUCUGCCUUACAUAUUUUUUAACUUCUACAGAUUGAUACUUGGGGACCUUAAAUAGCCACCUCUGAUGGUUUUAAGUAUUUUUUUACUAUAGUUGGUUAUUUUAGUAGGAGUAUUUGGACCUAUCUUUUGAGCAUUAAAUAAAUUGCUUUUAUUGUUCUCAAAUCUUUUAUUGAUAUGGUUGAAAGGCAAUUUGAUACCAAAACUAAAGUUAUUAGAUUUGAUAAUACCUUCGAGAUGGGGAGUGGUUUUACUGCUGCCACCUAUUUUCAAUCCAAAGGUAUCCUUCACCAAACUAGUUGUGUGGCCACCCCUCAACAAAAUGGUACUGUAGAAAGGAAACAAAAAUACUUGCUUGAAACCUGUAGAGCUUGCUAUUUAAUCUAAAGUUCCUACUAUAUACGGGGGUGAGUGUCUUUUGACAGCUAUUUUCCUUAUAAAUAGAUAUCCCACCGAAUUGCUUCAUUGCGAAACACCAUAUGAGGUUCUUUUUGGCAAAUCUCCAGAUUAUAAUUUUCUUGAAUAUUUUGGUUGCAUAUGGUUUGCAUCUACUCUAUCCCAACACAUAGGAAAACUUAAUCCUUAGGCUGAUGCUUGUGUCUUUCUUGGUUAACCCUAUGGAAAGAAAGGUUAUAAGCUAUUGAACUUGCAAACUAACCAUAUCAUUAUUUUUAGAAAUAUUGUUUUCUAUAAAUUUAUUUUUCCCUUCUCUAUUCUACCUUCUGUUUCUCCUCCACUAUUUCCAGAUUCCCCUAUUGCACCUUUUUCCUCCUAUCAUCUCUCUAUACCUUGUUCAUCUCCUACUUCUGCCCCUAUUCUUAGUUCUCUACAUGUUGCUGAUUCAUCUCUCAGUUCUUCCUCUUCUCCUCUCCUUCCUUCUAAUCCUUCCUCUCCUCUUCCUGUAUCCAGGGCAUCCUCUACCCCAUCAUCUUCUGGUCUUCCACCACUAUCAUUUCUCCUCUUCCUAUGCCACCUAUUCAUCAUUCACCUUCCCCUAUUCCUUCUAAAAACCCCUUUGGGCGGGUUCUUAAGAGAACAUAAGACGCCUGCCAACCUUUCAUAUUUUAUAUGUGGUGUUGUCCAUCUCAUAUUUGUCUCUACCCCAUAUUUUUUUCACCUAUAGCUCCUUAUGUUCUUUCCUUCUCUACCCUUUCUUCUUCCAAUCAACAAUUUCUUAAUAAAAUCUCCCAUAUUCAGGAACCUAGAUUAUUGUCGCAGGUUGUUACCUAUCUUGGCUCGCAAGAAGCCAUGGCUAAGUAACUAGAUGCUUUAUUGGCCAAUAAUACUUGGGAAGCAGUAUCUCUACCACCUAAGAGAAAGGCUCAACCUUGUAAAUUGAUUUACAAAGUGAAACUUAAAUCUGAUGGUAGUGUACGUUGAUGACAUCCCUUUCACUAGCAAUAAUGAGCAAGAAUUGAACGAAUUGAAGCAUUUUCUAAAUGCUGAAUUUAAAAUAAAAGAUUUGGGGCACUUUUUUUCUGGAUAUGGAGAUCUUGCGCCUGGUUUGGUCAUUAGCUAACACAAAUUUUCCCUUGAGUUGCUCAAUAUAUUUUCUUGUCUGUACCUUUUUCCAGUUAAUUAACUUUUGGAUCCAAAUCAUAAGUUGUUUGCUGGGGUUUGCCCUCCUCUUUCUAAUCCUUCUCUUUAUCGCCGGCUUCUUGGUAUGCUCAAUUUCUUGACUCACACUAUGCAAAAUCUUUCCUUUGUUGUUCAAUACCUUUAUCAAUUUAUGCAAGAUCCUUGUUCUGCCUAUAUGGAUAAUGUCAUGCAUUGCCUUCGCUAUUCUCAAGGACCCCAGUCUUGGACUUUUCAUGACCUCUUCCCCUUCUUUUGAUCUUCUUACUUUGUUGUGACUUCGAUUGGGGCACUUAUCAUGAUUCUCGUCGCUCCAUCGGUGGUUUCUUUAUCAGCUUAGGUGGUUGUGCCAUUUCUUGGAAAUCCAAUAAACAACCUUCCGUUUCUUUGUCAUCUCCCGAGGCAUAGCAUAGAACAAUACGCCGAUUGCAGUGUUAACCUAGUUGUCUCGCCUCCUUACAGAUCUCAUGUACCGCUCAAUUUGCCUAUUCCUCUUCAUUCUGAUAUGUAGGCAGUGAUUUACAUCUCCAAAUACCCUGUAUUUUAUGAAUAGACGAAACACGUCGAACUUGUUUGCCAUUUUUGUCCUUCAGCAGUUUCAAUCUGGCCUCAUUUCUCUCUGUUUUCUUCCCACUCUUUCUUAGUGUUCUUUACUAAACCUCUUUAUGGGCUUUCUCAUCGUGAGCUUAUGAGUAAGUUGGGGGUUCAUUCUCCCCUCUCCAAUUUGUAGGGGGUAUUGACAAUAGUGGUAUUUUGUUCAGAGAAGGUUAUGGCGGCUAUAAUUAUCGAAGCUAUCAGAUGAUAACAAAUGAGAGAAAUCAACAUACAAGGAUAUCUCAUUAAACAAUAGCAGGGACACGUGGAAUGAUCAAAGCCUUUGUUCAUUAAGUGAUGUGUUUUGUUCUCAACCGUAGGAUCUGUAUCUAGAAGCUUCUCGUAUAAGAACUCCAUAUAGAUUAUUUAUACACACACGUGGGAAUAUAAGUGAACACGUGAUGGGCAAUUAGGUUAGUUGAUGUGUGUAUAUAAUAAGACAUUGUCUAGACAUUCAUUUUGAGCAGAAUGAGACUAAUUUUCUUCUCCAAUUAAUUUUCUUCUUUCCUAAGUUUUACAAUAUUGUUAAUGUAAAAUUCACAAGUUAAAUUAACUCAUGUAGUUUGAUUAGGCCCAGUAAAAUGGAUUCAUUCAUGUAAUAUCCAAACAUCUUCUACAAAAUUAAUUAUUUCUUUGUUUUCUUCUUUUUUUUUAGAACAAAGUUUUGUCCUUGUUUCUCCUCUUUUUCCAUUACACUCUUUCUUGUUCUUCUUAUUCCACAUCGCUUUCUCUUUCAAUUACAGGAUAAUACAUCAAAGUACGUAAUGCAUAUACAUAUUGUUUGACAAAAAAAAUAUUAAGCCUUUUAGUUAAAUCAAUUAAUGAUUUGAAGAAGGGUGAAUCUUAAUUAAGAAUAAUAAAAUCUAGACCAAAUGUUAAAUGAAGUGAGCAAGAUGAACGACAUUAACUAGUGUACUAGAGCUGAUUAAUUGCUCAUGAAGACAUUAACACAACAACAUAAAUGUAGAUAAAGAUAAUGAGCAUGACCAAAGGAAUCUACCACCCAAUGAUUAUGAGAUUUCGGAUGGCUCUUUUCUGACAGCAACGAUGAAAGAGAAAGGAAUAAAGAGGGUUGAGAAUUAUUUGGAUAUUGUGAGUAUAGAAUCAAGAACAUAUAUUUAAAUAAUGUCAUUGUCGAACAAAAUAAAUUUUGUAUAUUUUCUCAGGUCAACCUUUUACCAAGUGUUUUUCUCGUAAAGUGAAUAUCCCUUUUUUUCUUUAUCUCGUCAUAUUAUAAGGGAUAUUUGCAGAAAAUCCUAAAAAGUACAAAAUAAGGAAUAUUUAAAGGAAUAUUCCUUGUGUCCAUAGCUGAACCUAUGCUACUGUUAUUUCUUCAUCUUAGAAAGCUAUCUUUGGCAUCUACCUCGAGAGCAGCCUUCAUCCAUCACACCGUGGUCGACAACAUCCGUGAUCUGGCUUAUCCACUAUCUCCAAGUUGAAAAAUUUGACCAAUACUGUUAGUUCAUCCACUUGUUGAGGUCGUGGUCCUGCACGCCCUAAAUGAGCGGACCUGAUUUGCCUCCGUUUUGGUGGAAUUUGGUUGUUUUGAAUAAGUCAGGUUGAUCGAGGUGGAGAGAACGUCACAACUAGGGAAUCCAUGAUUGGUGUGGCUACCAUAGGAUGACGUUACAGCCACACGCAUCAUCAUUAUGCAUCUUUCCGAGACAACAUCUAUGUGCUUUCCGCUUCAAUUUUAGUGCCAUUGACAAUCCUUUGCUUCGAUUUUCAUGCCACCUAACCUUAUAAAUAUAUGGGGUUUCAUUUUUUCGAAGUUUUUCCCAUCUUGUUCCUUGCAUGAACUCCAUUCUUUGAUCUUUUCUAGCUAGUUUCUGCCUUUGGUUUUGCUUUUUUGAUUCCAUUUCUCUCCUCCUUACCUAGUUGUUAUCUUCCUAUUUGGGUUUGAUAAUACAUAUUUCAUUAUCAAAAACAUGUCAUAAACUCUUCGAAUUCAUGAUGAAGUUUUCAAUACCACUCCGUUAUUGGUGGCUCCUCCUUCUGGUGGUGAGGUAUUUAUGGCUGAAGAGGAUGAGAAUUUUCCUACCACUGAGGAGGUAGUUCCCAAAAAUCCUUUGUCCAGAAAUAAUUUUCCCAAAGAGCCCGUUCCCUCUUAGGUUAUCUUUGAGACUGGUCCGUCUCAUAUAGCUGAGCUUCCAUCCACAUAUCGUAUCCUUCUUCACAUCGAGAUAGUUCCUACUGGUGGUGAUAUCAUGGAGGUCCAUCGACCUAGGUAUUGUGCUUUAUACGUCUACCUGUUAUUGAUCGGUUAUACUCUUUUUAUUUUUCUGCUAGCGAAAGAAUUUUUUCGAUUUUAUCACGUUUGCCCGACACAACUCUUUCCUUAUUUGUAUAAAGCUUUUCUGAUGCUGAUGAAUUACACAGAAUUGGCUAAUUUUAACGUUGGUGUUCGUCACUUACUGCACUUAUUAUCGCCAAGUUUUUAUAGGGGUGCAAUGAUACACCUACAGCAUUGCGGGACUAGAGGGCUGAUGGUCGAAAAGACGACAGGACGUCAAAAAUUCUAGCAUAGGUACUUUUCUAUCAAGAUGGAGCACUUGGUGGCAGAUCCGACUGGGUUCCUUAAGCAGUGGAACCAUAAACCUAAGUGUUUGUCAUAUGCGCGUUAUUUAUUUUUUUGGUCUUUUCAUUUAGUCUCCUUCACAGUUUCUGUUUUUCAGCUGAAAGGCGUGCACAUUCCCCUAUCCUCAACAUUGAAGAUUGGGUGGAUUGCAUACUGCCCCACAUGGUGGGGAUUCGUGAUUGGGCGGUCUUCUACAAGAGCUUCAGGCUGAAGGUCCCGUCUAGUAAGUUUUACUUUUACUUAAGCUUUUUGUUAUUUGCCAAUGCUCGUUGAUAUGACCUUCUUUUGGUGCGAGGUCGAUGGGUUUCCAAGAAUAAAGCUCCAGUUCUGGCCUUUCGUCGGGCUAUUGCAUCGGCAUAGAUGCAAUUUACUUUGGGUGAGUCCAUCUACAAAGGUCGUACUCAACUUCCAUCAACGAGGGAUUACCCAUUUGAAGAAGGNNNNNNNNNNNNNNNNNNNNNNNNNNNNNNNNNNNNNNNNNNNNNNNNNNNNNNNNNNNNNNNNNNNNNNNNNNNNNNNNNNNNNNNNNNNNNNNNNNNNNNNNNNNNNNNNNNNNNNNNNNNNNNNNNNNNNNNNNNNNNNNNNNNNNNNNNNNNNNNNNNNNNNNNNNNNNNNNNNNNNNNNNNNNNNNNNNNNNNNNNNNNNNNNNNNNNNNNNNNNNNNNNNNNNNNNNNNNNNNNNNNNNNNNNNNNNNNNNNNNNNNNNNNNNNNNNNNNNNNNNNNNNNNNNNNNNNNNNNNNNNNNNNNNNNNNNNNNNNNNNNNNNNNNNNNNNNNNNNNNNNNNAGUUAUAGUGUUGCUGUACGGGAUGAGAUCUCUUUUCGGCUUAUCUACAACCUUGUAGACGAGUCAGCUAAUGGAAAAGUCACCAUCAAGGAAGAGUCAAAUAAUGGAGCUUAGGAAGGUCGUCGUCACUAGUAUUGAACCGAGGAAAGUUACUACUCGGGGAGCGGCGCCUGCACUUGUGCCAAACACAUGGGCCAUUUUUAAUGCAGAUGCUAUUAUGGCAGGGAGGGCUUCUAGGACCGNNNNNNNNNNNNNNNNNNNNNNNNNNNNNNNNNNNNNNNNNNNNNNNNNNNNNNNNNNNNNNNNNNNNNNNNNNNNNNNNNNNNNNNNNNNNNNNNNNNNNNNNNNNNNNNNNNNNNNNNNNNNNNNNNNNNNNNNNNNNNNNNNNNNNNNNNAGUUAUAGUGUUGCUGUACGGGAUGAGAUCUCUUUUCGGCUUAUCUACAACCUUGUAGACGAGUCAGCUAAUGGAAAAGUCACCAUCAAGGAAGAGUCAAAUAAUGGAGCUUAGGAAGGUCGUCGUCACUAGUAUUGAACCGAGGAAAGUUACUACUCGGGGAGCGGCGCCUGCACUUGUGCCAAACACAUGGGCCAUUUUUAAUGCAGAUGCUAUUAUGGCAGGGAGGUCUUCUAGGACCGAGGGGGUACAUAUAGUAGGGGAGGUUGUUUAGACCGCAGAAGGUGGUGCGUCAUCGGAGGCCGGAGGAGAUGGAGCGGUACUUGCAGGGGACAAUAUUUCAGGCUCAAACAUUGAUCCUAAAGAGGUGCGGGCCUACUUGGAGAGGAACACUCGCGUGAAGUGAGUAUGGAGAGUCCUUCCCGUGGCUUAUGACCUUUUGGCUAACUCUAAGCGCGCGGUGCCAUCCUUUGCCCUCUUACGCGUGGCUUUUGAGAAUACGGUGCUACAGACGAUGAGUGAUACAGAUCUAUCACUGAGUAUUUAUGGCAUGUCUUUGAUAGUAAGUGCUUUUUAAUGUUAAGAUUUGUUUCGCUUACAUAAUCUGCUUAUACUAACUUCUUUCUUUUGCAUGCCAGACUCUUAUCAUGGGGAUCGAGCGUGACCAGUGGGAGGAACGAAGGACGACCAUUUUUAAGAAGAUGACCUCCAAGUACAAAGAAUACCAUACCAAGCACCAAACAUUGGCUGACGUCUUUAACAAAGAUAAUGAGUUUCAGUUGUUUUGUGAUGGGCUCAAACAGAACGAAGAGGAGUAGGUAAGGAGAGUUGAGGAGCUGAAGGAGCAGGAUGAUGAACUAAUGAAAGCCAUAGGUUGAGUAGUGGGCUUGAGGUGGCUCUUAAGGCCAAGGAGGAUGACCUCGAAGUGAGCAAGGGGGUGAUGUCCGAGACUGCCGACCUUCAAGCACGGGUGCGUUCCUUAACUGCUGAGUUUGGGCUGAGGGAAACGAAGGCUGUCGAUCUGAGGGGGCGAGUUGAGCGGCCUUAGAUGAUGCCCUCCGUGUUUGUAGGUUUGAGAGGGAUAAUGAAGUGAAGAAGUUGGCGCUCAAGUUGGCGAGGUUAGAAGAGCAGAUCCAUGAUCUGGAGGCGGAGUUGUCCAAAUUGGAUGAGAAGGUUGUUGCUUUGAAGGCUGAGAAAGUGUGACGGUAGUGGCAUCCAUCUAUGCUUAUACUUUUGUCGACCCGGUCGUGCCGCGAGAGUUGUAUGAGAUAUGGGUUCAUGCCGAGGCUUAGCUUGAAGUGUACAAGUCCCUGAAGGCCAAUGGGAGGGUUUUAGAGGUAGAACUCUAGGAUGUCCGUGUUAAAGCAUAUGCGGCCCACGAAGUUUGUGGUUAUUCCCCUAGUACACCUGGCGGGGAUGAUGUUGAUGAUGAUGCGCGCAAGCUCACCUCUAAUUCUUAGUAUAAUGAGUACGCCGAUGGGGAUGAUGUGGCAUAAAGACGUUGUACUUAUUUUUGUUUUGUUCUGCUAUUUUUGUGAGGGUGUCUUUAGCCCCUUCGUAAAAGGUAUUGUAAUAUAACGGUUGUAGUGGAAUGAUUACUUUUUUCUAUGUAUUUCCGGGCUGUAGUCAUCUUUUUGUUAAUUAUGCGGUGAAGUCCCUGACUUUUUCAGCCGCUUGUGUGUAGUUUUUUGGCAUAGUCGAUAGUAGAUCUUAAAGUAAUUCGAGUGUGGUCGAAUGUAAAAUAAUUCAAGCAAGGUCAAACAUAAAAUAAUUCGAGCAAGAUCAAAUGUAAAAUAAUUCGAGUGAGGUGGAAUGUGUGAUGAUUCAAGCGAGGUGGAAUGUGUUACGAUUCGAGCAAGGUCGAAUAUAAAAUAAUUCAAGCAAGAUCGAAUGUAAAAUAAUUCGAGCGAGGUACAAUGUAAAAUAAUUCAAGUGAGGUCGACUGUAAAGUGAUUCGAGCGAGGUUGAAUGUAAAGUGAUUUGAUCGAGGUCAAAUGUAAAGUGGUUCGAUCGAGGUCAAAUUUGAAAUAACUCGAGCGAGGUCCAAUGUAAAAUAAAUUGAGCAAGCUCGAAUGUAAAGUGAUUUGAAUGAGGUCAAAAUUUGGAGUGUGAAGAGACUUCGUGGAGAGUAAAAAUGUUGCUUUAUUUCAUUCAUUGGAGAAUUUCUUGGUGGAGAGUUAAAAAUGCUGCUUUAUUUCAUUCAUUGUAGACUAUCUUGGUAGAGAGUAAAAAAUAUUGCUUUAUUUCAUUCAUUGUAGACUAUAUUGGUAGAGAGUAAAAAAUGCUUCUUUAUUUCAUUCUUUAGAGAAUACUACAAGUGUUCUUUGUUUCAGACAUAUAUUGGAUAAGUUUACAUGUAUCUAUUCCCUUCAUCGUAAGGCUUGGAGAAGUAGUUGGCAGGUGGGGCGAUGAAUUUUACUUGAACUUCGAGACGUCCCUUUUGUCGCCUCAUUAAAAACCUCUUUGAGAAACCCAAUUGGGACAAAACUUGGAUAAGGGAAAAAGAGUACGACGUGGAGGCAUAUGUUUUCAAAAGUUAAUAGAAUUUGAGAUGGGCGACGUUCCAAUUGUUUUGUAGUAGCUUCCUUCCAUAGUUUCUAGUUGAAAAGAUCCUUUGUUUGCUACUAUCGUGACCUUAUAUGGCCCGUCCCAAUUGGUUCCUAGUUUGUCUUCUUUCGAAUCUUUGUUCGUUUGCUAGCCUUGAGUACAUAGUCACCGACAUUGAGUGGCCGUACGUUGGAUUUUUUGUUGUAGUACCGUUUUGCUUGUUUCUUUUUGGCUACCAUUCUUAUGUAAGCCAUGUCUCUUCGCUCCUCUGCUUUGUCGAGGUCCUAUUUUCUAUUUUCAUCAUUGCCCGGCCCACUUUAAUUGGAGUAUCUCAACUGAGUUCAUUGAUCUCAACCGCUAUCAUUUUGUCAGUCCCGUAGACUAGUGAGUAUGGUGUUUCUCCCGUGCUUGUUUUCGGUGUGGUUGUCCACGGUACCUUUUAGAGUAAUUCCGGCCAUAGUCCCUUGGCAUGUUCAAGCUUUUUCUUCAAGAUAUUCUGUAUUAUUUAGUUGGAGGAUUCGGCCUGACCAUUAUCGGCACAGUGGUAUGGCAUUAAGAGUAUUCGCUUGAUGUGCCAUUUUUCGAAAAGCUCGGCGAUCUUCUUUCCAAUGAAUUGGGGUUCAUUGUCACAGCUGAUUAUUUGGGGAUGGAAAAGCAACAUAUGGUGUUUCUCCAUACGAAUAUGAUAACUUUGUGUUCGCGUAUUUGGGUGACACACCUGCUUCUACCCAUUGUGAGAAGUAGUCAAUUAAAACUAAAAAAAUGUACAUUACCUUGCUUUACUGGUAGAGUUUUGAUGAUGUCCAUCCUCCAUUUGAUGAAUGUCUAUGGUGAUGUAACAGAGGUGCUCGCUUGCUUGGUGUAUCAUAGGGGCAUAUUUCUAGCACUGUUCGUAUUUAUUGACAUAAUCAUCGGCCUCUUUCUUCAUUGUGGCUAAUAAUAUUCUGCUUGAAUGAGGUAUCUAACGAGGACUCAAUUGCCGGUAUGGGCAUCACAAUGGCCUUAGUGUACUUCCUUGAGUACGUGCCUUGUUUGAUUCGGCCCUAGGCAUUUCUCUAAGGGGCCUCCAAACGUUCUUUUGUAUAGCUCAUGAUUUAUGAGGUUGUACCUAGCUACCUGCAUUUCAAGCCUUUUGGCUUCCUUUUUUCUACUUGGAGUAGUCCUUCCUUUUUUAUAGAGUGUACUUCGAGUAGAAAUUUAUGAAUUUCCACCUGGUACUUCUGUAGCCUCUGCUUUUUGAUUUGAAAAGUCCGUGUGACUUGGUUGACAAUGAGUUACGAGUCGCAUCUAAGAACGACUAGGCAUGCUCCGUAUUUGAGAGCUAGUUUCAAUUAUACAAUAAUGGACUCAUACUCGGCCUCAUUGUUAGUUAUAUUAGAGCACCGAAUGGACUGGCAAAUGACUUCUCCUAUCUGGACCGCGAGUACGAGUCCUAGUCCAGAUCCUGACGCGUUAGAUGCGCCAUCGGUGUAUAAGACCCAUAGGUUGGGUAGGUCAGACGAGGUCGAGAAAUUUCCUUUUCGACCUCAAUUAUUAUUUUGGCACUAAAAUUGGCGACGAAUUCGGCAAGAACCUGCUAUUUUAUUGUCGUUCACAAUUGAUAUGUUAUAUCAUGUUCACUCAAUUCUAUGGCCUAUCUUGCUAGUCUUCCCAAUAGUUCGGGUUUAUGUACGAUACCUUUCAAGGGAAAAGUCGUUACUACCAAUGUGGGGUGGCAUAGAAAAUAGGGUCUAAGCUUUCGUGAAGCUACAACCAAGGCCAAGGCCAAUUUCUCAAGGUGAGGGUACCUCGUUUAUGCGUCAAUGAGAGUUUUGAUAAUGUAAUAGAUUGGAGAUAUCGUGCCUUUAUUUUCACAGAUCAAUAUUGCGCUUAUCGUGACUUCUGACACGACCAGGUAUAUAAAGAGGUGCUCACCAGGUUCUGCUUUGGUGAGUAGCGAGGGAGAUGAUAAGUACGCCUUUAGCUCUCUUAAGGCCUCGAUGCAUUCUGUAUUCCAUUAGAUCAUGUUGUCCUUUUUGAGCUCGUUAGAGAAUUUGUGGCAUAUGUCCGAUGAUCGCAAGAUGAACCUUGAUAAUGCAGUUGUACGACCUGUCAAUUUUUGCACUUGUUUCUUGCUAGUUAACACUUCGAAUAUUCCCUCAAUGGCCUUGAUUUGGUCGAGAUUGACUUCGAUGCCUCUUUGUGAUACAAAGAACCUAAGGAACUUGCCUGAAGUUAUGCCAAAGGCACAUUUUUUGAGGUUCAGUUUCAUAUCGUACUGCCUCACUAUUUCAAAUGCUUUUUUAGGUGGUCGAUGUGAUUUUCCUUCCUUUCGAUUUGACCAACAUGCCUUUUGUGUAAACCUCCAUAUUUUUGUCGAGCUGGUUCUUGAACAUUUUGAUCACCACUCUUUGACAAGUCACCCAUUCGUUUUUCAAGCCAAAAGACAUGACUCGAUAACAAUAUGUUCCUUGAUGGGUGAUGAAAGUAGUCUUCUCUUGGUCCUCUUUCUCCAUGAGGAUUUGGUUUUAGCCUGAGUAGGCAUCCAAGAAACUCAAAAACUCGUGUCAUGUCAUUGUGUCAAUGAGCUGAUUAAUAUGAGGCAGAGGAAAGGAGUCUUUUGGGUAUGCGUAGUUUAGGUUCGUGAAAUCCAAGCAUAUGCGCCAUUUCCUGUUUUUCUUUUUGACCAUGACUACAUUAGCGACCCAUUGAGGAUAUUUUUUUUCUCGGAUGGAGCCGUUAGCGAGGAGUUUAUCCACUUUCUCGCUGACGGUCUCAUUGAUUGUAGUGUUAAAUUUUCUUCUCGCUUGUCUUAAGGGGGGUAGAAUGGAUCAACGUUCAAUCUGUGUGUUACGACGUCUUUCAGAAUACCUAGCAUAUCUAUGUGGGGAAAAAGCAAACAGAUCGGCAUUAUUGGUUAAAAUUUCAUGAAAUUUACAUGGCUUAGAGAGCUUAUGGCCUAUAUAGGCCUUUUUGUUGCUGUGGUUGUUCUCCAGUUGGACAGGAUUGAGAUCUUAUAUACUUAAUCCUGCGGACUCCGCGAUGUCGGGGUCCUUAAUAACGUACUGCUAAUCGUCUGGAUCGGACCCCGACUUUGACAAUUGUUAUGCUUCUAAGCUUGCUCCUUUUAGUAGUUGAGUGAAUUUGCGAUCUUGGGUGAUGUGGUAGUAUUCUUGGUCCGUUCAUUGUUUGGUCUGAGAUGCUGAAUAUUCCUCACGGGGUAGGGAAUUUGAUUACUUGGUACAGACUGGAUGGGAUAGCUCUCAUGAAGUGUAUCCACGGUCGUCCUAUGAUUGCGUUAUAAGUUGUGUCAUGGUUUAUAACAUGGAAUGCUGUUUCUAAGGAGAUUCCUCCUACUAGGACUGGCAGUGGUAUUUAUCCUGAGUUUCAUUCGACUACAUUGUUAAAACCUGUUAGUGUUAAGCAGAGUGGUACUAUCAUGUAUUUGAGUCACAUUUGUGCGAGCACUCGAGGAUGGAUAGUACACGCGUCACUUCCAUUGUUUACCAUUAUUCUUUUAAUACCAAGAUCUGAAAUAUGUAAAGUAAUGACAAAAGCAUUGGAGUGAGGAAAAAUUAAACUGGGGUCCGACUUAUCGAAGAUGAUACUUUCUUUGAGGUCGUCAUAUUGAUCGUGGGUGAUUGGACACUUCAGCUUGUUCGUGGUGGUAAAUUUUAUGUGGUUGAAUGGUAUGGGCAGGAGAGGGCGGCUUUGGAUGGCCUUGAUAUUGUUCUCGUCUGCAGCCAAAGCUGGAUCGUCCUAGGUGACUCAUUAACUCCUUCAGGUGCCCUUGGUUCAGCAUGCUAACUACUUCUUGCCGUAUGGCUAUGCAGUCCUCGCUUUUGUGACCCCACUCCUGGUGAAAUUCACAAAAGACGUUCAAUUUUCGGGUACUAGGGUCGGGCUUCAUUUUUUGCGGUCACUUUACCUUCGUACAAAGCUUCUCUUGUGCGUACACUACUUCUGAAGGAGAAAUACAAAAAUUGUAAGCGGAUAAGAGUGGGGCAUACCUCUUUCAUUUUGCUGAGUUCCUGUAUACGACCCUAACAACCGUUCCAUGUGUUGAGGGGAUGGUGGAACGACGAUUCUAACAUAGGGCUGAUGCCUAUCUCGGUUAAGACGUGGUCCUGACUAAUCUCUUCGACUAUCAUUAUGACGGUCUUUCCUUGGCUCUAUUUGGAUUGACGUUAAAUGUUGGUUUGGACCGUUAAGGUUGUCAUCGUCUGCUCUCACCUUAGCACAGUAGGCAUUGAGGGUAUUUCAUGAGCCUGCUUAACAACUUCCUAGUUUCCCUUGACCCACUUCUGUUCAACCCAUUUUGGAAGGUUGCUCCGCCAUCCCUUCCGAUACGUUUGGUAAGCUCAUUCUCACCCUGUUAAACCGAGCGAGGAAGUCCUUGAGUCCCUCCCUUGGCGUUUUCCUAACGACGAAUAUAUCUUUCACCCUAGCCUCCGCUUUAUUAGCUCUAGAAUGGGUAUUGACGAACUUAUCAACCAUUUAUUCAAACGUUGUUACAGACCAUGCUGGUAGUUGUGAGUACCAAGUUAAGUCCCCUUCGGUUAGGGUUUUGCCAAAUGUUUUUAGUAGCACUGAUGGUACUUGCUCCUUUGAUAGAUUGUUGCCCUUUACUGUUGUGACAUGGCGAAUGAUGUUGUCUUCUGGGUCGAUGGUACUAUCAUAUAUCUUUAAAUAUGGUGGCAUUUUGAAGGUAUUAGGUAUGGCAUGCGGGGUUGCCUCCUCGCUAUAAUCGGCUGACGUCUCGUUUUGGUAGCAUUUUUGGGGCGCCCCGGUAUCUUAUCGAUCCUUUCUUUAUGUUCUCUCAUCUGGUCGCAGAGUGCCUUAUUUUCAUUUUUCAUUUCUUUUAUUUUCUUUAAGAUAGUUGCCAGUGCGUACGUCUUGUUGACUAAUAAAUCAAGUAUACCACACCAUGUAUCAUCUCCUUGUCAUUGCAUGCAUCAACAAUGGUGUAAGUGUUACCUGUUGGGGGAGCUGGUUGCUCAUUGGUGGUCGUUAUGACAUCUAUCGGCGCGACAUUUUGGUUCUCUCUUCGAACGAGUUUGUCGAUUAUGUCACUGAGGGUACUUGUCAGCCACUCCUCCAAUAAUUUGUUAGCUGCUCAUGGUGCUUCCUCAACUGUGUAUGUGGAAGCUCCCCUUUCGCAUGAAGCGGUUACACUUUUAUGAGGAGGAGGUGAAUCACUCUGCCUGAGCGUAACACUUGGUGUCACAUUCUCAUUAUCUUCUCUCCUAUCCUCGUUGAUGGUGUUCAAAAUGUUCGUAGUAACACCUGCUAUUGCUUUCUAUCUAGCAUCUACAUUUUCUGCCACCAUUAAUUUAUGCAAAACGAGGAAAAGAUGGUUUUCCUUUUUUAUUCAAAACUAAUAUUUAACUAAAAAGUUCCCACAGACGACGCCAAAUUGUUUGACCAAAAAUUGU